AGCGUAGCGAACUUAAAAGUAGCGAAGCGUGUGGAGUCACUGUCAGGAAAAGCCGCUAUUGCGUAUCAUGAACCCGUACCGUAAACCGACACAGGUGGAUGAGGAGAGAAUCCUAAGGCCGACGGAAGAAGCAUUGUUAAGGAAUUCGGCAAAAUGACCCCGUAACUUCGGGAGAAGGGGUGCCUACGAAUGUAGGCCGCAGAGAAUUGGCCCAAGCAACUGUUUAGCAAAAACACAGGUUUAUGCGAAACCGAAAGGUGAAGUAUAUGAGCUGACGCCUGCCCGGUGCUGGAAGGUUAAGGGGAGAGCUUAGAGGCAACUCGAAGGUUCGAACUUAAGCCCCAGUAAACGGCGGCCGUAACAAUAACGGUCCUAAGGUAGCGAAAUUCCUUGUCGGGUAAGUUCCGACCCGCACGAAAGGCGUAAUGAUUUGGGCACUGUCUCGACAAUGCAUCCGGUGAAAUUGAAAUACCAGUGAAGAUGCUGGUUACCCGCGCCAGGACGGAAAGACCCCAUGGAGCUUUACUCCAGUUUGAUGCUGGGAUUCGGUACUGCAUGUACAGGAUAGGCGGGAGACUAGGAAGAUAUAACGCCAGUUGUAUCAGAGUCGCUGUUGGGAUACCGCCCUUGUAGUACUGGGUUUCUAACCUGCCACCGUGAACCGGUGGAGGGACAACGUCAGGCGGGGAGUUUGACUGGGGCGGUCGCCUCCGAAAGGGUAUCGGAGGCGCUCAAAGGUUCCCUCAGAAUGGUUGGAAACCAUUCGAAGAGUGCAAAGGCAGAAGGGAGCUUGACUGCGAGGUCGACGGACCGAGCAGGUACGAAAGUAGGACUUAGUGAUCCGGUGGUAGAAAGUGGGAUUGCCAUCGCUCAACGGAUAAAAGCUACCCUGGGAUAACAGGCUAAUCACUCCCAAGAGUUCACAUCGACGGAGUGGUUUGGCACCUCGGUGUCGGCUCAUCGCAUCCUGGGGCUGUAGCAGGUCCCAAGGGUUGGGCUGUUCGCCCAUUAAAGCGGUACGCGAGCUGGGUUCAGAACGUCGAGAGACAGUUCGGUCCCUAUCCGGCGCGGGCGUAGGAUAUCUGAAAGGAGCUGGCCUUAGUACGAGAGGACCGGGCUGGACGGACCGCUGGUGUAUCUGUUGUCAUACCAAUGGCAUAGCAGGGUAGCCAAGUCUGGAAGGGAUAAACGCUGAAGGCAUCUAAGCGUGAAGCCCCCCUUAAGAUAAGAUAUCCCUGGAGUUAAUCCAGUAAGACCCCUUGAAGACGACGAGGUAGAUAGGGCAGAGGUGGAAGUGUGGUAACACAUGGAGCUGACUGUCACUAAUAGGUCGAGGGCUUGAUC
This 1344-nucleotide ribosomal RNA is filed under the name metagenome. Its description in RNAcentral is "bacterial LSU rRNA". It matches the Rfam family "Bacterial large subunit ribosomal RNA", at positions 1567 to 2925 of the family's 2925-position model. The record is from RNAcentral.